This 301-nucleotide ribosomal RNA is filed under the name uncultured bacterium. Its description in RNAcentral is "partial 16S ribosomal RNA". It matches the Rfam family "Bacterial small subunit ribosomal RNA", at positions 509 to 807 of the family's 1533-position model. The record is from RNAcentral.
CAGUCGCCGCGGGAAUACAGAGGGUGCGAGCGUUAAUCGGAUUUACUGGGCGUAAAGCGUGCGUAGGCGGCUUCUUAAGUCGGAUGUGAAAUCCCUGAGCUUAACUUAGGAAUUGCAUUCGAUACUGGGAAGCUAGAGUAUGGGAGAGGAUGGUAGAAUUCCAGGUGUAGCGGUGAAAUGCGUAGAGAUCUGGAGGAAUACCGAUGGCGAAGGCAGCCAUCUGGCCUAAUACUGACGCUGAUGUACGAAAGCAUGGGGAGCAAACAGGAUUAGAUACCCCUGUAGUCCCUGUCUCUUAUAC